RNAcentral lists this long non-coding RNA (402 nucleotides) under Sorghum bicolor (sorghum). RNAcentral's name for it is "long non-coding RNA (SBIC_LNC000809)". The record is from RNAcentral. Lineage: Eukaryota; Viridiplantae; Streptophyta; Magnoliopsida; Poales; Poaceae.
UGGAGGGUGGACUAUAUAAGAAUCAACGAAGCUGUCACUAUCGCGAACUACCACACGACCCGCCCAAUAGGAUACAUUUGCAGAUAAAUAACAUCUAAGCACCACGCUCACAUGUGAUCUAUCACCUAACUCCCUCGCGUCAAGAGCUAAGCGCUUUGCAAACUUAUACAUAAACUCAUUAUCAAUUAGAACUAUAUCAAAUAUAGAACUAGAACAAACUAAGAACAUAAUAAUUAGAGACAUAAUGCAAUUAGAACAAAGAAUUAGAGAAAGAUAUGAAUAAUACCAAUCUUUAUUACCGAAGAUCCGAAUCCAGAGCGUAGUGCUCUACUUCUCUAAUUGCUAUCUAAUCAAACCUCUAAACUUGAAAGAUUAGGGAGUAGCUAAUUCUAAUUCUCUGUG